GACGUGGGGUGAUUCUCGUUUUUUGUUGAUUUGGCGUGGGGUUGACAGUUGCUGACCGUGAGAAUAAGAAAUUGUUCCGACGUUUUGUGCGUGUCCUCUGACGACCUAAGCUGGACUAAGCGCAAUCAAAGAUAAAAGACAAAUGACUUGUUCUUAUGCUCAUCUGCUUUUUAACUUGAUACAUGCGGUAUUAUCAUUUCUGUAUUUUGGCUAAUAUGAUCCGUGAGAUUUAUUAUACUUUUCAUAUAUGCCCACAAUUUAUACUUCAAAAUUUGUUCUUUUAUCUAACCGUAAUAAGGAGCCUACAGAUGACUACAAUUCAGGUGGGGACACGCGAUUUAAUGCACCAUGGCACAACAUUAUUCAUUAAGGACGAGGUACUUUGAGAAAGUGGUCAAAGCAGCAACAACAAACGACAAUCGAACUGUGGGACAGCUGAAGAGACAAUCAGCAGACGACAGGAACUGGCCACGAAGCUACUAUCGGCAUUGACAAUAUUCGUUUUAAUAAUUUGGUAUAGCAGUGUGCAUUCUCCUGCCUGGCAGUCAGUUUAUUGGUCAGUUCUUUCUUUCUGUGUAGUCACUGGCGUUCCCCCACCCCUGCACCCGCUGGAACAGUGCCAGCAUUUCUUCAUUCCAUCAAGGGAUUCUGAGCUGACAUGUUGUGUUUUUGUCAGUUGUGACGUGGCUAUUUAUUGUCGUGCAAAGAAAAGUGAAUUUGCGAUUCGAUCCGUCGGUCGCUGUGAAUCCGCUGCUUCGUGAAGUAUUGGGUUUUAGUUUUCUGCUUAUCAAGAAUAAAUUAAAGUUUCUCGUGCUUUCGAUAAUGGCAGAGUGGGGGAAGCUUACUGCCGCGCAGUCUGUGGUCAUCGUUGGUGGCUGAUGGUUGCAGUUGUCUGAUGUUCUGUGGCGUGGCGGUACUUCGUAGACCCAGGACUGGAGCAGUUGCAGCCAGGGCCCUUUGUGGUGAGUGCAGAAGUCGUCGUAGCUGGAGUGUAACAAGUAAGUGCCAGUAUGACCUGGAGCUUUUGUUGCAACUAAAAUUCUUCUUAGGUUGCCAGCCAUGUCGUGUGGUUGAAAGGUGAAAAACAAUUUAUCUCAAAACCUUGGAUACUGUGUAGUGUAUUUGAAUAUAAAUCAUGCAUACAAACAAAACUGUCUACACUUUGAAGGACACUGAUGCCAGACGUGUUUCGACCUCAAGAGGUCAUCAGUGUCAAAAACAAGUUGAAUCAUAUAAUACAAAUCUAAAAGAUUGUGGUUUUUUAUAGAGCAUAGAAGGCAAGUUCUUUACAAAAUCAUGUUUAUGUAACACCUCGCUGGACGUUGAUUGCUCAGGAGUUGGUGCAUUAUAUUGAAUACUUGGCUUUUAUGUCCACUGGCCUGCUUGCCGAUUGUGGUCUACGGUGAGCCUGUGCCUGCUAACUUCAACGAUGCUUGGGCAUUACUGUCAGCUUUAAAAAUGUGUAGGGUAUAUAUUAACUCUGAAAUCAGGGUGGCCUACUAUUGCAUAAGAAAUUUACUUUUUUCUGUUUUUUGCUUGGUCAAAUAACACAUUGGAGUCUUGGGCAUUCUGUUCAUUUAUCAUGUUUUGGUUUUUGCUAGUUUUAUAUAUAUAUGGGAUUUUUCAAAAAUGUCUAAGCAUUUUACCUUUUGAGGCUUUGUUCUCGUCCUCAAUACUAAAGUGCUCAGGACCUUGAUGAAUAUGUUUCUUCAAACAUUAAUUUUCUCUUCUUUGAACCACAUGGCAUGGCUGGUAGCCUGAGAGAAAUUCAUUAUAAUUAAGAUGCAGUGUUUAAAUGUCAGUUUUAUCAUACAGUGUGGAAUAACCAUGGCGUAAUAGCGUAAGAUAAUGUAAAGAGAUUGAUUUGUUUCCCAAAACAAUUUGUUUCUUUCAUGGACAGAUGCUUUCACUGUUUUACCAUUAGUUUUACUGUCUUUGCCUUGAUAUCUCGUAUUUAGAGCCAUUUACGUAUGGAAUUAUGAAGUCAUAUCUCAGGAUUUAGUUCUGGUCUUCAGCACUCCGUACCACAGGUGUCAUAACUUGAAUAAAAGUCACCUAACUGUUUAUAUGUCAUGCCACGCCUCACUUGAGUGAGUGAAUGAAUGGAGUUGAAUUGGUCUGUGGAACAGGUGCAUAAUGAAAUUAUAAAACAAAAGGACAAUCUGAUAUAAAUUCAUAAAUAUAGUUGAUAUUAGGCUGAAGACAUUUCACUGCAGUUAUUUCUACAAAAUUUUGAUUUGAAUGUUGAUGACAAAAUAAAAUGCUGGAAAUUAUAUGUUGUAGGAUGUUCUCAGAAUUGGAGAGUUUGAAAACAGUCCCUCUCUGGGCUGAGCAAUUUUAGAACUGCUGCCUUUAAGUUUUAUAAUGAAAGUAGUUAAAAUCAUAUUUUAAUUCUCAAAUUACGUCAUUGACUGGAAGUUCUUAGAUUUGUGGCUAUUGAAAUGUGCCUGCACCAACGAGGCAAUUAUUCAGACCACAUUUGUCUGACAGUGCAGCCAGUCAGAUGGGAUGCUGAGAUGUGGACCAUGCAACUUGAAAGGGCUGUUUUCAAGGUGUGAAUUUAGAAAUUCGUAUUUAUCCAAAAUAUAUAAAAUCAUGUGUUCAAACAGAACAGUUUACAUUUUGAAAGGCCAAACGUGUUUCGACCUCAUGAGGUGAUCAUCAGAGACGAAAACAUACAAUUCACAAGACGAUUGUAUGUUAUAAAGCACUCAGCAUAAAAAGGUCGCAUUUUAUGAAACCUUCCUUCAUGUAAUACCACACUGAAUGAUUAAGCAUUAUGUAAAUUUCCUUCAAUUCUAGGACUUUAUGUUUACAUCCAUGCUGUGUUUUUAAUUUUCUGUUAAUAUUAUAAUAAGAUUUCCAGAAAUGAUAGCCUGGGUUUCUGAGUAAUUUUCAUAUAAAGUUAAUGAUCUUUCCUCGAACACUUUAGGAAUGGGUUUUAAUCUUGUUAGGAGGAGCAUGGCAUCGAUUGGAGUUGUUUUGACUCCUCCUGUAAGGAGUCGUAAUUCCUGGUUUUGCGCUCGGUCUAGUUUACUCAGCUUUUUACCCAUAGCUGUUAUCAGUGACUCACAGCAAUAUAACAUUUUGGGAAGGAUGAACAUUUGUAUGCUGUGUUUAGGGUAGAGCGAUCACAACCCCAUUUAAUUCCUGCAAUGCAUUUCAUUGAAUUUAUGCGUCUAGUUACUGCAGAUACAGUUUUUUAUACUUGCUGAGGCCAUUUUAAUUUGUUAUCAAAAAUUGGUCUGUUUGAUGUAGUGGCAUGUUUGUUUUAUGUUAGGUUGGAUGCCUUGAUGAGUUACGGAGGUUUCGAACUUUGACUUUGACACACUAAUGUUCAUAUUAUUUUUAAUACACUUGCGCUUUAUAGGAAUGAACACAAAAGACUUUCUCCCUCUUGGCUGUUUGUGAACAUUGGAAAGAAAGAUGCUGAUUUAUCAGUUUAUAACCAUCUUGAUUUAUCCCAUGAAAGGACAAAAAAUAUUGAGAAAGCAGAACAUGCUAAGCGGCAGAGAAGAUGGUAACAGAUGAAUAAAUGGUCCAGUGUCUAAUUAAUUAAUCCAGAGAGGAGUAGGGUGAAGAGAAAAAUAAGCAUGAACCUGAACAAAUUCCAGUUAGUAAAUAGCAAACUCAUGAAGCUGUUAUCAUUCUAAGAACUGCACUGGAAAAAAGUUUAGCAACUGAAUGUGAAUACAGAAAGUACAGUACUGAGAGUUAUUAAAAUAAGUUAUGUGCUACGCUGACUGCUCACACCUAUCUAAUGCCAGGUUAAA
This is a non-coding RNA of Zootermopsis nevadensis, 3773 nucleotides long. The record is from RefSeq and is a predicted model, not a curated record. Lineage: Eukaryota; Metazoa; Arthropoda; Insecta; Blattodea; Termopsidae.